UUCAAAAAUCUAGGACCAGGAGACAAAAGUGAUGUGGGAUUUCUGGCCAAUGAGACACCUGCCAACACCCAAAGACCUACAGGACGGGACAUUAUUGUUGCCACGGUGCACGAAUGAUGUCAUUUGUCAUAAAAAAGGAAUGCAAGCCUGCUGAGCAUGUACAAGGUCACCUUAAACGGAAGAGAAUGGGCAGGGGUGGCCAGGAACGCACCCUAAGUUCACUUCUAUCUUAGGCUUCCCUGUCCUCCCAAAGGCCGAGGCAAACUAGGCUAAAUCCGUUUCUCAGCCAGUUUCUCUGUGUGUAUGCACCGGUACACGUGCACAUGUGCAUGUAUGUCACAACAUUAUGACCCGGCUCAGAUAUUCAGGAAGCAGUAUGAAUGACAAGUCCAAGUUCCAUGGUUUGGGGCUUGAUCACUGCAGCCAACCCUAGCCAUCAUUAGCUGUGUUGAGCCUCGUCUCUCUGUCACUCUCACACACGCACCUGGAGAAACACAGCAGCUCACCAGGGAGAAAGUGAGGCAGGUGAGAACCUGAUGUUGCACACACACCUGCACCACGUGACUGGGCCCUGACUGACUCAACUUCUUCUCUGGGGACAGCCUACAACAUGCGAUAAUAACUGGCGAUUUCAGUGGACUUCAAGAAUUGCACGAGGCUGAAGAACAGAGAACGGCUUCCGGCUGUCUGGUUUCCUUCGGGCCAAGGUCUCUGGGCAAGGUGCUUUCCAAGCCUGUGUAACCAAGCAGAAAUCCCUAGGGAGUGUAUAAAUUCAAGUUUCUGCCAUGCAGGAGAGGAAACUGCCAUACCCACAAAUGCCUCAUCCACAGCCAACUUGACAUUCUUCACAGUGAGCCGUGAGUUCUGUAGCCUCAUGACAUACCUAAUUUGUGUUGCAUUUUGAAUAUUCUUGAAAAUGUCCAUAUAAUGAGAGGAAAACAAUAUGUGUCUAAGCAGAGCCUUGUCUCCAUGUGCAAAUCUUCUGGCAGAAGCCACAUUAAUGCUAAUGAAAUCUGAAUGCUAAAGCCCGUCCCGCAGUGGGUGGAUGGUCUCUGUGCUGAAACACAUUUUCUUCUCAUUAGCACCACCAUCUUUAUUAAUAUUAACAGUAAUAAUGAGAAUUAGGGAGGCUGGGUUCUGGCAGAACCCAGAAUUAGUGUGUGUGUGUGCCGGGG
RNAcentral lists this long non-coding RNA (1175 nucleotides) under Felis catus (domestic cat). Its description in RNAcentral is "lncRNA (ENSFCAG00000048523.1)". The record is from RNAcentral. Lineage: Eukaryota; Metazoa; Chordata; Mammalia; Carnivora; Felidae.